UAGUUUUGUCCUAAGUCAAAAGUUUAUAACUUGACCAAGUUUAUAGAAAAAUAUAUUAACAUCUACAAUGCCAAAUAAAAGCAUUAUCAAGACAUAUUUCAUGGUGGAGUUAAUGAAACUAAUUUGAUGUAUGCAGAUGUUGGUGCAUUAUUCUACAAAUUUGGCCAAAGUUAGAGAAGUUUGACUUAGGACAAAAACUA
This 200-nucleotide microRNA precursor is filed under the name Setaria italica (foxtail millet). RNAcentral's name for it is "MIR1435 microRNA precursor family". It matches the Rfam family "MIR1435 microRNA precursor family". RNAcentral also lists the same sequence under 1 other name. Lineage: Eukaryota; Viridiplantae; Streptophyta; Magnoliopsida; Poales; Poaceae. The record is from Rfam by way of RNAcentral.